Long non-coding RNA from Harmonia axyridis, 1487 nucleotides. RefSeq lists it as uncharacterized. NCBI's taxonomy places the organism in Eukaryota, Metazoa, Arthropoda, Insecta, Coleoptera, Coccinellidae. The record is from RefSeq and is a predicted model, not a curated record. The transcript is spliced from 2 exons.
UGAUUUUUUUUUCUAGCUUUCUGAUAUUUGAAGAUUGUUUCAAUGUGGUUCUGACAUGAACCUCUAAUGUUGCAAUUGUCUCCUUUUCCUUCGCUAUGAGGACUUAGUGUUCGAGAAAAAUUGAGUAAAAAGCGUUUGAUCAACAGUUGAAUCAAAUUUGUAGGUAAGUAAUAAAUAAAUAAUUAAUAAUAAUUGUGAUAAGUCAGUGAAAAUUAAAAUAAGGUAGUAAGAACCGAAUACAAAAAUAAAAAAUUAUCUAAUAUUUCUUCUGCACAAAAUCGACGGAAAUGAGAUAGAUAAGUAUAUAUAAAAUAAGAAUUACAACUUCGUUAAAGCUUUAUGCAUAUAAAAUUCAAAUAUAAUAUUGAUAAAACUGCGAGGAAGGCACUAAUGUGAAAAACUUUUGAGCGCUCGUUCCUUCAUACGUCGAUUGCACUCUUGCAAACCAUGGAAUAGGUAAUAGAAUAGGUAUUAUGCGGUUGCCAAGAGUGAAAUUGGCGCAUGAAUGAAUGAGCGCUGUAAAAAUUCCUGACUCCACAUCACUGCGCUUUCACUCACUUGAAUGAUUCAAGAUAUUCUUGUAGGAAAUAAUAAACCUCAGUGUGAAAUUUGCAUCGUUUUUCGAAAUGAUUCCUCAUCUAGAUCCGCGGUUCUGAAGGAGUUUAGCCAUAGCAAAAAAUACAAAGGAUUUUAUUCUCUCUCUGUUCAUAAAAACAAGCAUUUAUUUCUGGGCAAUUUGAGGUGAAGAGUUGAUUAUUUUCUCGAAUAUCUUUGUUUGCCAAAAAAACUAUUGGCAAUGAAAUUAAUACUAUGACCUAGAGAUGAUGCUGUGCCAAACAGAGAACAGAAUUGUGAAUUUUAUAGCGAGAACAAGCGCUUUUAUCUUGAUUUUCAUUACAGCUCAUUCGUCAACGUUUAAUUUGAGUAGUUACAAAACUAAUAAUUAGAAGUAUAAGUAGCGUAUUAUGUUACCUUAAAAUUCAAACACCCAGGAGUAUAUUUGAUUUUUUUCUCAAUUUUUGUGUAUAGGACGAAUAUAACUGAAUAAAUUAGGGAGUGGGGCUGGAAGUUUCCGGGGUAAGGUGUUCCGAUGGUAAUAACUUUGUAACGAAAAAAGAUGGCAAGAUAUGCAAAACAUGCUUCUAAAGCACCAAGUGGAGCGCCAAUUUGGCAGUAAUUUUUAUUACUCUUGACGGUGGUGGAAUGGCUGUGUGCACGUGCUCUCGAAACGUCACAUAACUCGCCUCAUGUUAGGAUGAAGAGGCUUACUUGUGAUGUGCUAAGUUUCACUGCUGGAGGAUUUCAGUUGAACAAUUCGCUUUGCGCAGUGAACUGCAUCAGACUUGGAAAUUUAGGAGGUUACUGCGAUAAGGGAACAUGCUUCUGUAAAGGAUACAAUGGACAAAAGUAAUUCGAUGAUCAUAAUUUUUCACAAUGUGUUCCUCUCUUGGUCAAUACAAUAAAGUGCCCUCAUUGAACAUCGGUAA